This 253-nucleotide ribosomal RNA is filed under the name uncultured bacterium. Its description in RNAcentral is "partial 16S ribosomal RNA". It matches the Rfam family "Bacterial small subunit ribosomal RNA", at positions 524 to 776 of the family's 1533-position model. The record is from RNAcentral.
UACGUAGGGUGCGAGCGUUGUCCGGAAUUACUGGGCGUAAAGCGUGCGCAGGCGGUUUUGUAAGACAGAGGUGAAAUCCCCGGGCUCAACCUGGGAACUGCCUUUGUGACUGCAAGGCUUGAGUGCGGCAGAGGGGGAUGGAAUUCCGCGUGUAGCAGUGAAAUGCGUAGAUAUGCGGAGGAACACCGAUGGCGAAGGCAAUCCCCUGGGCCUGCACUGACGCUCAUGCACGAAAGCGUGGGGAGCAAACAGG